Oncorhynchus keta (chum salmon) is the source of this 241-nucleotide long non-coding RNA. RefSeq lists it as uncharacterized. The transcript is spliced from 3 exons. The record is from RefSeq and is a predicted model, not a curated record. Lineage: Eukaryota; Metazoa; Chordata; Actinopteri; Salmoniformes; Salmonidae.
CACAGCUCCAAGGUAUAAUGACUUAGCAUCUCUCCCACUCUGUCACAGCUCCAAGGUAUAAUGACUUAGCAUCUCUCCCACUGUCACAGCUCCAAGGUAUAAUGACUUAGCAUCUCUCCCACACUGUCACAGCUCCAAGGUAUAAUGACUUAGCAUCUCUCCCACACUGUCACAGCUCCAAGGUAUAAUGACUUAGCAUCUCUCCCACUCUGUCACAGCUCCAAGGUAUAAUGACUUAGCA